CAGGUUCUCCUCACAUUACCUUCAUGUUUCUUCAUCCUAGCCUGGACCACACAACAAAACCACCUGCCUCUGCUUCCCAGGUGCUGUGAUUAAAGGCCUGUGCCACCGGGACUGCAUGGUGUUUUCUUAUGGAUUAUCUGAAGAAGGAUAUGAUCCCUGAAAGAUUAUUGGCUGGAGAUUCUUAACCAUGAGAACACAGUGCCUGCGAACAUAUUGUUGAUGGAGCCUGGUUAAUUCCUACAUUAGUGAUCAAGUACAUGUACCACAUGGCAAACCAUCUGCUAUCAGACAUUCUGAUUAGCGAGGAGGGUGCCUAAUGUGCUGUUUCUGUCUUUGGGGUAAGAUUUCUGGUAGUUUAUGUCUCUGAUGGAGGCCAUAGAUAUAAUUAGGGCCUUAUUCUCUGAUGUACAAGUAAAAGCUAUUUCCAGUAUGAUUAUAUUUCUCCCUCUUUCUCAUAUAUAUGGUUAAAACGUGACUAUGCAGCUAAUAACGGUACUAAUCUUCAUGUUUCUGUAUCUAGGUUAUGAUGUUUACUCCUUAAAUAUAAUGGUGGAAAUAAAAACAACUUACCAGGUAAUUAUCAUCCUUCCCACAUAUUGAUGUGGACCAUGGAUGGUUUCCUGGUACCCUCCUUUUUGAAAAUUUCCCUUUAUUAUGAGAACUUUUGACUCAGAGUUCUGCAAAUGGUCAAAGGUCAUGAAAUAAUAAUGACCUUAGCAAUGUCAUGUGACACAGAAAAUUUCCCUUAGUGUAGUUCUAUAGCAGGUUAGAGCAUCACAAUGAUUACAUCAUAAACAGUGUGGACACAUAAAAUAUUCCAGGUUAGUCUUGCUAUGAGCCUCAGUCACAGUAUGGGACAUUUGAUCUUCAAAGUUACAAGUAAGUGACGAUGGUCUCUCUGGUACAUCUUGACACCAAUCUUUUGCUACCUCUACUGGUGUAAAAGAUAUGAUUCAGUUCUUAGCAAUUGUGGUAGCCAUGAGUGAAUAUUCCUCAGGUAGUAGUGAAAAUUUAUGAUGCGCCUGAACAUGUGGGGUUUGACAAUGUCCCACAGAUAGGCCCACAGGCCCAUACAAUGAAGACAACUCCUCAAGAGGCUUCCUCUUUAUGGGUGUCUCUAGUUUGUGUCACAUUGACAACAACUAAGCAGCUGGUAGUUUUUGUCAACUUGCUGGUAUUAGCUCAUUCAUAAGACAGAACAGCUAACCUUCCUAUGUGGAUAGUUGUUGAUGAUCUCAAUAUCUUUUACAUAUCAAUGACUUUGAUAAGUACUAUAGUGCAAAACAAUGUUGUGCUUAAUAAUGCAAGUUAUAAGUUUUACAAGGUAGAAGCAAUCUGAAUAUUUAGAAGCUCAUUAUUUCCUAGUUUUUUUGGUUUUUUUGAAUUGUUCACAACCUGGUGCUUCGCUGUAACAUUUUGCAGGUGGCCUUUCAAGGUAAGGGAAGAUGCUCUUGAUAAUAUCUGCAACCUCAAACUUGUUCAGGUAACCAUGUAGAGAUAAACUCUUCCUUAACAAUGGUAGCGAUUAAGGUAAUCGACAAGUGUCCUUGAAAUGCAUUUGAAACAAAUCAGAUCUUGAAACACGUUUGGGGAAUUUUGUUUGUCUUCUUUUGGAGGUAGGGAAAUAAUUGGGGUUGAAUUGAGGAACUCAUAUUUACUCUAGUGCUUACCGUUGACCUGUAACCUCAGCCCUCAUGUAUUUUUGCUUUUUAUUUUGAGAAAGUAUCUGACUGUGGUGCCAAAGUGAUCUUGAAUUUUCUCUGUAGCCCAGGCAAACCUUUAACUUCUAGUCCUCUGGCCUUAAUCUGCUUAGUAGCAAGUCUCACAGACCCGAGUCACUAGGCCUGGCUUAUGUUUUCUGACAGAUUCUCUUAAACAGAACACAGUGAUUACUAAAGAACUUUGGAAUGGAUAUUGAUCCUAAGCACCUAACUGAUAAACCGAUUAUAGCUCAGUGAAGACCACCUCAUUUUCAAUAUCCAGACAGUUGAACUGGCUAAGUCAACCUGAAAUUGCGAUUUUUUGUAGGUGUUUUCUUACUUUCUUGGCUAGUUCACUGGUGUGAUUUCUCUCCACACUUCUAGCCCUUAACAUUCUCAGUUGCUAUUUUGGCAUUUCUCCAACCUUUUUGGCAAUCCUGCUUCUCCUCUACUGUGUCUAAUGUUAUUUAAGCACUAAAUGCCAUUUUUAUUCUAACUUCAAGACUGUAUGAAUUUAAUAAUCACCAUGUAGAGACAGAAGCAGGAUUCCACAUAGUUCUCAAUGUGGCCAUCAUUUUGAUGAUAUAGAUGCUAACAGUUUUAGAGAUAACCUUUGUGGGGAGGAAGACUUUUAUGAUAAAUCUCUGUCCAUUGUCUUUUGCAAGAAUCUAGGUCUGGUAGAUGCACCCAGA
This 2392-nucleotide small RNA is filed under the name Rattus norvegicus (Norway rat). RNAcentral describes it as "uncharacterized LOC103690816". Lineage: Eukaryota; Metazoa; Chordata; Mammalia; Rodentia; Muridae. The record is from RNAcentral.